This 403-nucleotide ribosomal RNA is filed under the name bacterium. RNAcentral's name for it is "partial 16S ribosomal RNA". It matches the Rfam family "Bacterial small subunit ribosomal RNA", at positions 355 to 776 of the family's 1533-position model. The record is from RNAcentral.
UGGGGAAUAUUGCACAAUGGGGGAAACCCUGAUGCAGCGACGCCGCGUGAACGAAGAAGGUAUUCGUAUCGUAAAGUUCUGUCCUAUGUGAAGAUAAUGACAGUACCAUAGAAGAAAGCUCCGGCUAAAUACGUGCCAGCAGCCGCGGUAAUACGUAUGGAGCGAGCGUUGUCCGGAAUUAUUGGGCGUAAAGGGUACGCAGGCGGUUUAAUAAGUCGAAUGUUAAAGAUCGGGGCUCAACCCCGCAAAGCAUUGGAAACUGAUAAACUUGAGUAGUGGAGAGGAAAGUGGAAUUCCUAGUGUAGUGGUGAAAUACGUAGAUGUUAGGAGAAUUACCAGUAGCGAAGGCGAAUUUCUGGACACAAACUGACGCUGAGGUACGAAAGCGAGGGGAGCAAACAGG